This is a non-coding RNA of Cherax quadricarinatus, 319 nucleotides long. The record is from RefSeq and is a predicted model, not a curated record. NCBI's taxonomy places the organism in Eukaryota, Metazoa, Arthropoda, Malacostraca, Decapoda, Parastacidae.
CUCAUUUGCGCUCUGCCAAACACUUGCUAGAUCUGUGUUGUUUAAAUGGUGGUGCCUUUGUUAAGGUUGGUCAGCAUCUGGGCUCCCUGGAGUACUUGCUACCUGUGGAGUAUGUUAAUACCAUGAAGGUCCUGCACUCCAGUGCUCCAAAAUCUCCUCUUGAAGAUGUCUACAAGGUUAUCGAAAAGGAACUCAAAUGUAAGCCUGAAGAAUUAUUUGUGGAAUUUGAGCCAGAGCCUCUAGGUGCAGCCUCUCUGGCACAAGUGCACCGUGCCAAGCUUCACAAUGGGCAAGAGGUGGCUGUUAAGGUGCAACACCC